Molecule: small nuclear RNA, 103 nt
Filed under: Sciurus vulgaris (Eurasian red squirrel)
Lineage: Eukaryota; Metazoa; Chordata; Mammalia; Rodentia; Sciuridae
Source: RNAcentral
AUGCUCACUUUGCCAACACAUAUACUAAAAUUGAAAUGAUACAGAGAAGAUUUACAUGGCUCUUGUGCAAGGUCAACAAAUUCAUGAAGUGUUCCAUAUUAAA